Molecule: ribosomal RNA, 253 nt
Filed under: uncultured bacterium
Lineage: Bacteria
Description: partial 16S ribosomal RNA
Rfam family: Bacterial small subunit ribosomal RNA
Source: RNAcentral
UACGGGGGGGGCAAGCGUUGUUCGGAAUUACUGGGCGUAAAGGGCUCGUAGGUGGCCAACUAAGUCGGACGUGAAAUCCCUCAGCUUAACUGGGGAACUGCGUCCGAUACUGGAUGGCUUGAGUUUGGGAGAGGGAUGCGGAAUUCCAGGUGUAGCGGUGAAAUGCGUAGAUAUCUGGAGGAACACCGGUGGCGAAGGCGGCAUCCUGGACCAACACUGACACUGAGGCGCGAAGGCCAGGGGAGCGAACGGG